GCCUGCCCCGCCCGGCGCCGCACCACGUGGGCCAGGCGCCCCACGCCUGGAGCUCCCCUCUCUGGAGCCCCGGGAAAGGAAGCGGGGCAGGGAGGCCGGGUGGGAGCAGGGGGGUCUCCGGCGCUUCCUCUCCUCUGCGGGCGCCGCGCGGCUCCUGAGAGUCCGCCCCCCGUCCUGACGCUCAGCUAGGAAGCGGGUCCUCGGGCCCCUCCCCCGACACACACACACACACACACACACACACACACACACACACACACUCUCUCUCUCUCUCUCUCUCUCUCUCUCUCUCUCUCUCUCUCUCACACACACACACACACACACAGCCCGUCUCGCGCCUGAGGUCUCGCCCGCAGGCCGGUGGCGCGGGGUCAGCUGCUGCCUGCGGUCCAGGACAGGGUCGGUUCCGCCGCGCAGCGCCCAGGCCCAGCUCGUCCAGAGUCUGCGGACAGCGCACGUCCAGAAGGAGCUGGUCCGUUACUAGAAAAGUCCAGAUGCAAAGUCGGGGGUCGUGCUGCCGCUUCCUGCCAGCGCACCGCACCCACCUGGGGCCGCCACCGACCGCACAGGACGCGCCUCCUACCCCCUGUUCUGGCCCGGCCGAGAGCUGGUGCCCCCAGCGGCCGCCCGCCCCCGUCCGCAGACCCCGGGGCCCUUGCUGCUUUGCAUUGGGAACAACCGGAGCCAGGCCCGGAGCUGAGGGGGCCAGGGCCUUUGGAGGAAGCAUUGGCCUCCAGGCUGAAGAGCAAGGGCCGUGUCACCUGCCCGGAGGGCGGUCUCAUCUCUGCAGCCAGGUCAGAGGAAGCAGCGGUGGGGAGACGGAGUGCGCGAGUUGGGAGGCUCCACGCAUCGUAGGUGGAGAGCUGGCUGCCAGCCUGGCCUGCCCUCUCUUCCCCGUCCCACCAUCUCGCUUGGCUCCGGCACCUGCCUGGGAAGACCCACACCUCCGUCUGCAGUGCCUCUUCCCCCUGGAGGCCCUGCCCUCCGCUCGGGGUCCCCGCAUCCUUCCGUGGCCCUCAGAGCAUCGCCUGGGGCGCCCGCGGAACUCAUCUGUUAGGCCUGGGAUGCAGGCAGGCAGAAGUGGGGGUUUAAGUGGAAGCAGUGAGGGUGGGGGUCCGGUCCAAACUGUGCCACCUUCCACCCCCUGCCCCUGGGAGAGCAGACAUCGCCCACUCGGGCUCACAGUGCCAUCCGGGUGAGGACCUCCGUGGAGAGCUCUCUUUGCCAAAGAAAAGCAGUUGCAUUAGGUCUGCGAGCAGGCAGGGUGGCCUCUUCCUGGCUCCCCAUCCACCAAGGAAGCUUCAAGUCCCUGGGACACAGGCACUUUCCCACACAGGAUGGAGCCGGGCCACCCUCACAGCUCCUGCCCUGCAGACGCUGGCCUUGUGGAGGGAGGCAGGCAGCAGGAGCAGUGCUUUCUGGGCCUCUGUAGCCAGAGCUGGCCCUGCUGCAGCUUACGUCUGCCUGCAGCCCAGACGUCCUCCUGGUCCUCCUGAUGCCCCCGACCUCCACGGAGGACGAGCAUUUCCAGCCCAGCCCUCCCCAUCUUCACCUCGCACUCCCCUGACACACUGGGAGCCUCCUGAUCCGUGAACCCGCGCUGGCGGGAGUAGCUACUGACCGCUGGGGACCCCUGCCCAGGCUGUUCGCAUGUGGAAAGGAUUCAGGGAGCAGGCGAUGCCCAAAGCGUGGAGACCAGCACUGCUCUCUCCCCAGUGACAGGUGCACGCCCAGAUCACGGAUGUGUCGGGAACAGCUGUGCUCCUGCUGCUCAGCGUCCGUCACUCCAGGCUGGGAGCGGGUCCCCAAGCUUCUGGCUGGGCCUAUCCGUCUCCACUCUCAGUGUGGGGGUGGGGGGCGCCAACAGCACGCAUUUGCUCUCUGCACUUCUCGUCUGAUAAUGGGCAGAGGGUCCUUCUGCAGCCCCAAAACAUCCCUAGGCAGGAGCCCUGGGGCCCCAAGCAGCCAGGGAGGUGAGCACCAAGGACCUCCCAGAGAGCGUCACCUUCCGUCGAGGGAGGCCCAGCCUGGGGGCGGUGUCUGAGACUUGGAAUCAACGCUUCCGUUGGUGGCAGUAAAUCCUGUCCCUAACCCUGCAGUACAGCUGUGCCGUGUACAGGAGGGUGCUGUCUGACGCCAGACACCUGGACUACAGAUCGCAGCCUGAUUCCUGGUCAUUGCUCCACUGAACCCCAGACCCCAGCCUCGUUCUGGGCCCUCAUCCCCUAGAUCCAGGGACCCCAGCCCCAUUUCAGCCCUUGGGCCCUUGUAGGAUGCGAGGCCCUGGGCCCCAGCCCCCAGCCCAUCCGUGGCCCAGGCACUGGGGGGCUGAGGUCCUCUGAGAAGGGACACAGGGCCUGGGGGGCUCUCUCAGCCCAUCAGCAGGAGAGGACUGACUCCAGAAAAAUCAGCGUUUGUACCCACUCAGGCUGCCAAGACCUGUGUCCGUCCUUCCAAGCUCAACCUUCAGAGUUCAUGAGGCCCCUUGCCCAGAAUGUCCACAGAGUUCAUGAGGCCCCUUGCCCGGAAUGUCCACAUUUGAAACCUCCCAACACCGAGCCCCAUUUCAAGUAUAACCAGGAGGGAAAAUGGUGCUUGAAAUAAGCAUGCCACAAAGGAAAACCUGCUUUCUCGAAAUGGGCCCUGGCCGCCCAGGCCCUGACCUCCCCGGCCAGGAUGGAACGUUCCAGAGACCCAUUAGUGCCAAAGGCAAAUGAAAACACACCCUGUGAAAAUGUC
Long non-coding RNA from Homo sapiens (human), 2739 nucleotides. Ensembl annotates it as cytoplasmic endogenous regulator of oxidative phosphorylation 1. Its record names the gene CEROX1. The record is from Ensembl. NCBI's taxonomy places the organism in Eukaryota, Metazoa, Chordata, Mammalia, Primates, Hominidae.